GGUGAGAUGGCUGAGAGCGCUCCCCUGCUAAGGGAGUAUGUAGUUUAUAGCUGCAUCGAGGGUUCGAAUCCCUCUCUCACCGCCA
RNAcentral lists this transfer RNA (85 nucleotides) under Vibrio cholerae. RNAcentral's name for it is "tRNA-Ser". It matches the Rfam family "tRNA". Rfam says of the family: Transfer RNA (tRNA) molecules are approximately 80 nucleotides in length. Their secondary structure includes four short double-helical elements and three loops (D, anti-codon, and T loops). Lineage: Bacteria; Pseudomonadati; Pseudomonadota; Gammaproteobacteria; Vibrionales; Vibrionaceae. The record is from RNAcentral.